RNAcentral lists this ribosomal RNA (509 nucleotides) under Monosporozyma unispora. RNAcentral describes it as "SSU rRNA". It matches the Rfam family "Eukaryotic small subunit ribosomal RNA", at positions 1143 to 1675 of the family's 1831-position model. The record is from RNAcentral. Lineage: Eukaryota; Fungi; Ascomycota; Saccharomycetes; Saccharomycetales; Saccharomycetaceae.
CUAAAAGGAAUUGGCGGAGGGGCACCACCAGGAGUGGAGCCUGCGGCUUAAUUUGACUCAACACGGGGAAACUCACCAGGUCCAGACACAAUAAGGAUUGACAGAUUGAGAGCUCUUUCUUGAUUUUGUGAGUGGUGGUGCAUGGCCGUUCUUAGUUGGUGGAGUGAUUUGUCUGCUUAAUUGCGAUAACGAACGAGACCUUAUUCCUACUAAAUAGUGGUGCUAGCAUUUGCUGGUUCUUCCACUUCUUAUGAGGGACUAUCGAUUUCAAGUCGAUGGAAGUUUGAGGCAAUAACAGGUCUGUGAUGCCCUUAGACGUUCUGGGCCGCACGCGCGCUACACUCGACGGAGCCAGCGAGUCUAACCUAGGCCGAGAGGUCCUGGUAAUCUUGUGAAACUCCGUCGUGCUGGGGAUAGAGCUUUGUAAUUUUUGCUCUUCACCGAGGAAUUCCUAUAGCGCAAGUCAUCAGCUUGCGUUGAUACGUCCUGCGCCUUGUACACACCGCCCG